This 540-nucleotide ribosomal RNA is filed under the name uncultured bacterium. RNAcentral's name for it is "bacterial SSU rRNA". It matches the Rfam family "Bacterial small subunit ribosomal RNA", at positions 8 to 526 of the family's 1533-position model. The record is from RNAcentral.
AGAGUUUGAUCAUGGCUCAGAACGAACGCUGGCGGCGUGCUUAACGCAUGCAAGUCGAACGGGAUCCAGAGCUUGCUCUGGUGAGAGUGGCGCACGGGUGAGUAACGCGUGGAUAACCUGCCCUGGUAUCCGGAAUAACAUCUCGAAAGGGGUGCUAAUACCGGAUAAGCCUACGGAGCCCUCGGUCUUUGCAGGAAAAGGUGGCCUCUAUUUAUAAGCUACCGUAUCAGGAUGGGUCCGCGUACCAUUAGCUAGUUGGUGGGGUAAUGGCCUACCAAGGCGACGAUGGUUAGCUGGUCUGAGAGGAUGAUCAGCCACACUGGAACUGAGACACGGUCCAGACUCCUACGGGAGGCAGCAGUGGGGAAUUUUGCGCAAUGGGGGAAACCCUGACGCAGCAACGCCGCGUGAGUGAUGAAGGCUUUCGGGUCGUAAAGCUCUGUCAGAGGGGAAGAAAUGAGAUUGGCUAAUAUCCAAUUUUCUUGACGGUACCAUCAAAGGAAGCACCGGCUAACUCCGUGCCAGCCGCCGCGGUAAUUC